This is a long non-coding RNA of Lotus japonicus, 1672 nucleotides long. RefSeq lists it as uncharacterized. The transcript has 9 exons. The record is from RefSeq and is a predicted model, not a curated record. NCBI's taxonomy places the organism in Eukaryota, Viridiplantae, Streptophyta, Magnoliopsida, Fabales, Fabaceae.
GUAUUUUCAUCCGUUUUCAUUCAUUCUUCCAGGGCUUUUAAUCGCGUGCACGUUCUCCCCUUCAUGUCUUCCGUUCCAUCUUCACUCUCUUUGCCUCUCUCCGUCUUCUGUUUCUUUGUUUGCGAUGUUGAGGCCAGUGGAGGGGUGAUUGUGUGAGCGAUCAGAUCUCUUUCGCCUAACCUUAGGUAUGCAUUUUGUGUGCUACAGUGUUUGUUCUGAGGCCCUGCCGUUCGGUUUUGGUGGAGACUUUCAGCUUCACUCUGUUUUCAUACUAGCUUAAGGUGUGGCAUUCUGAAGGUUUUGGUUGCUCAAAAGGUCCUCCGUUUUGUGAGUGCUUCUAAUUCUUCCGCUAGGUUUGAUCUCUCAAAAGUUCUAAAAUCAUGUUUUGGGCCUCUCUUGAGUUCCUAUUAUCAUGACAAGGCUCCUCCACUUCCUUCUUGCCCUCCAAAUCCGGCGGUGGCAAGCAGAAUAAGGUGGAGUUGUCGGAGUAUAGCAAACAAUGGUGGAUGAAUGUUUAAUGGCAAGAUUUCGCUGGACAAAAAGGUUUGCUUUCUAUUUCUUUGAUUUUCAUCUUUGUGCCUUUAGGUAAGGCCAUCUCCUUCUAUAUUUAUUUUCUUUUUAUCUCAUUAAAAACACCCUUAUUUUCCCUUACUAUUGUUUUAUACAUGUUCCACUCCUCUGCUGCGUGCAAUGAACACAAGUGGAAAUGAUCAGGAUGUGGGCGUCCUGGAGUUAGGUGAACUUCUUUAUUAACUUCUUUAUCCAUCUCUUAUGUUCAAGAAUCUGGGUCCACUGAUUGAGCUCCAAAAACAUGCUUUUCUGAAACUUUUGUGAGGAGGCUGGGUUUGUUGAUGUUGCCCAUGUUCCUGAGCUUUCAAUAGCGGAAAUCUUUCAUGGACUGCAGUUCUGUUGAACCACUCUGCAACAAAUGAUGAACACAUUGGAUACGAUUGUGGAAGGUCCCUUUGGUUAUAGAAGCACUUCACCUUUGAAGGCUAAAUAAGUUGUAGUUCAAACAUGAAUCCAGAAUGAAAAGAAACAAUAGGGGAGCAAGAGUUUUGGCCAGGUUUUGUGAAACUUUUGCAGGAAAUGCAGGAGUGACAGAGAAAAAACACUAUCUAUUGAAGCAUUCCACAAAAAUCAUAAUUGUGGAGAUGAUCAGGAAGUGGGGUUCCUAGCAGCAUAGACAACCAUGUUCUUGCGAGAAGGGUCAAUAUGAGAGACUUGAUUAGAAUGGUGAGAAUGGAAUGACAGUUUCAUCUGAGGAGACUGCCAAAUCUGGCGUUAAAAAGUAGAAGAAGAAUGUAUUUGACCUACCUUUUCACACAGUCAGAGAUCAAAUAGAAGAAAGCCUUUGAACCAAGAUGGCUUCUAUGAAGGUUGAGAGUGCUACUAAAAGGACUGAGGGGGCUGGGUUUGUUGAUGUUGCAUGGAUUGCAGGUUCAACAAACUUUUGAAAGCUGCAAGGUGUAUCAAGAUACAGAAUUAAUAUAUGUAGUGCAUCAAGUUUUCAUGUUUUUUCAACUUCCUUUGUUUUAAGUUUUUUUCUUUUGUGGGCUUCGGAUUCUAAGUUCCAUUUGUACUGUCAAGAGAUGAUAUCUUCAAUUUUGAAGGGCAUUACGACCCAACUAUGAUAUAUUGGAAUUGAAUUAUUACAGUCUUUGCAAGUCAA